UGCCCAGUAGCGGGGGAUAACUACGCGAAAGCGUAGCUAAUACCGCAUACGCCCUACGGGGGAAAGCAGGGGAUCGCAAGACCUUGCACUAUUGGAGCGGCCGAUAUCGGAUUAGCUAGUUGGUGGGGUAACGGCUCACCAAGGCGACGAUCCGUAGCUGGUUUGAGAGGACGACCAGCCACACUGGGACUGAGACACGGCCCAGACUCCUACGGGAGGCAGCAGUGGGGAAUUUUGGACAAUGGGGGAAACCCUGAUCCAGCCAUCCCGCGUGUGCGAUGAAGGCCUUCGGGUUGUAAAGCACUUUUGGCAGGAAAGAAACGUCGCGGGUUAAUACCCCGCGGAA
RNAcentral lists this ribosomal RNA (346 nucleotides) under Achromobacter denitrificans. RNAcentral describes it as "bacterial SSU rRNA". It matches the Rfam family "Bacterial small subunit ribosomal RNA", at positions 127 to 472 of the family's 1533-position model. Lineage: Bacteria; Pseudomonadati; Pseudomonadota; Betaproteobacteria; Burkholderiales; Alcaligenaceae. The record is from RNAcentral.